This 429-nucleotide ribosomal RNA is filed under the name uncultured Sulfuritalea sp. Its description in RNAcentral is "bacterial SSU rRNA". It matches the Rfam family "Bacterial small subunit ribosomal RNA", at positions 355 to 776 of the family's 1533-position model. Lineage: Bacteria; Pseudomonadati; Pseudomonadota; Betaproteobacteria; Nitrosomonadales; Sterolibacteriaceae. The record is from RNAcentral.
UGGGGAAUUUUGGACAAUGGGCGAAAGCCUGAUCCAGCCAUUCCGCGUGAGUGAAGAAGGCCUUCGGGUUGUAAAGCUCUUUCGGCAGGAACGAAACGGUCUUUUCUAAUACAAGAGGCUAAUGACGGUACCUGAAGAAGAAGCACCGGCUAACUACGUGCCAGCAGCCGCGGUAAUACGUAGGGUGCGAGCGUUAAUCGGAAUUACUGGGCGUAAAGCGUGCGCAGGCGGUUUUGUAAGACAGAUGUGAAAUCCCCGGGCUUAACCUGGGAACUGCGUUUGUGACUGCAAGACUCGAGUGCGGCAGAGGGGGGUGGAAUUCCACGUGUAGCAGUGAAAUGCGUAGAGAUGUGGAGGAACACCGAUGGCGAAGGCAGCCCCCUGGGUCGACACUGACGCUCAUGCACGAAAGCGUGGGGAGCAAACAGG